Long non-coding RNA from Apis laboriosa (Himalayan honeybee), 1493 nucleotides. RefSeq lists it as uncharacterized. The record is from RefSeq and is a predicted model, not a curated record. The transcript has 5 exons. Lineage: Eukaryota; Metazoa; Arthropoda; Insecta; Hymenoptera; Apidae.
UUUCGCGCUGGUCAUUCAUGAUUCCACGUGAAAUUAAGAUCGAUUUCACAUCUAACGAGCGUCGGCUUGUGGCCUGGGUGUCGCGAAACAAAUAAGAAGGGCGGGGAAAGAUGAGAUUGAGCCGGUUGGUCGUUCAACCGAGCCAGUUACAACAGACGGCGCCCAUGAUCUGGUCAGUUUGGCGAAGAACGUGAGAGUAAGUCGCUCCUGGAGCGAAAAGAGGAACAGAGAGGGCUGAAUGAACGAGUAAAAAAAUAUUGUGACGACGUAGUGAGACACGUGUGCAAGACAAGAACGAAGACAGGAUUGAAAGAGAGGAAGAAAAAAAACGUUAUGACGGUAAAGAGGUUAAGGUGUGAAAGAGAUGAGAAUAUAUGUGAUUGAAAAAGGCGAACGAGUGGAAGAGGAACGGGGAUAGUAUGACUUGUUGGGAAACAACUAAAGAGGGAGGAAGCGAAUAUGUAUGUGAGUACGUGGGAUGGAUAAUACUUCCUUGGCGCGUGUAAUGUACUCGUCCGACGGCGCCGGCGCCUGCAUAUAUUGCUCUUUCUAUCUUUUUCUCUGUCUCGAAUAUGUUUACGUGACGUGACACAGAUUCCACAGAGAUGCCUCCUGAAAAAUCUAUAUGAUUAUGUCUGGUGUGUGCAAAAAUUUUUGGGACGUGUCUAGAACGAGGUUAUGGUUGUUAUGACGUAUGACAUUGCAUGGCUCUUCUAAACGUUUAUUCUCGUGGAUCAAGUUGUAUUGUUGUGCAAGUUUCUAUUAUAUUUGAAAAAUUAAAUAUUAUAUGUGAAAUUAAUAAAAUAAAAAGCACAUAUAUAUGAUAUUCCACGAUGUAAUGAGAUAAACGACGAAUGGAAUGGAAUAUUUAGCAUUGAUGUUUAUAAGCUAUUCUGUUAACUAAAUAAAUGAGCGAUCAAAAAAAGGGUGAGGGGUGAAAUAUUUUCAAAAAUCAAUAGCAUGUAUCGUAUUGUGCCUUGGUCGAGACAGGUGUCUCAAUUGCGGCGCCGGAAAGUCGUAAACUGUUUUUCGGACUAUAAGAUCUUUACCAAAAUCCCGAUACCGAAUGGUAGGCAUUAUUUACACCUCGUGGCGUGUUGUAAAAUUAUAUAUACACUUGUGUUUUUUCACGCUGUCCACGCCUGAAUAUAUUCAGAUUCAUUUAAAUUACAGAGAGUAACCAUUUCGCAUCUCUCUUUUUCUUUCUUUUAUACUUUCUUUCUUUGUGGAAGUAUAAUAAAAAAUUUCCUUACAUAAAUCAAAAGCAUAUUCAAGUAUUCGAAUUAUGGAAUAAUGAAAUAAUUGAAGGAAUUGGAGAAAUGAUGAUGUAUAUAUAACGAAAUGUUUUAAUGCAUGUAUUAAGAAAAUCUGGUAAAUGAAGAGUUUCUUAAGAAGAAAUACAUAAAAGAUUCAAACAUAUAUUUUCAAGGAUUACUAUAUUUAUAAUAACAUCUAUUACUAAAUAAGAGGCAUUCAGUUUAAAUAAUAUAAGG